RNAcentral lists this ribosomal RNA (1281 nucleotides) under Flavobacterium sp. RNAcentral describes it as "bacterial SSU rRNA". It matches the Rfam family "Bacterial small subunit ribosomal RNA", at positions 56 to 1346 of the family's 1533-position model. The record is from RNAcentral. Lineage: Bacteria; Pseudomonadati; Bacteroidota; Flavobacteriia; Flavobacteriales; Flavobacteriaceae.
UGCAGUCGAGGGGUAUAGGAAGCUUGCUUUCUAGAGACCGGCGCACGGGUGCGUAACGCGUAUGCAAUCUACCUUUCACAAAGGGAUAGCCCAGAGAAAUUUGGAUUAAUACCUUAUAGUAUUACGGANUGGCAUCAUUUUGUANUUAAAGAUUUAUCGGUGAAAGAUGAGCAUGCGUCCCAUUAGCUAGUUGGUAUGGUAACGGCAUACCAAGGCUACGAUGGGUAGGGGUCCUGAGAGGGAGAUCCCCCACACUGGUACUGAGACACGGACCAGACUCCUACGGGAGGCAGCAGUGAGGAAUAUUGGACAAUGGGCGCAAGCCUGAUCCAGCCAUGCCGCGUGCAGGAUGACGGUCCUAUGGAUUGUAAACUGCUUUUAUACAGGAAGAAACACCUCUACGUGUAGAGACUUGACGGUACUGUAAGAAUAAGGAUCGGCUAACUCCGUGCCAGCAGCCGCGGUAAUACGGAGGAUCCAAGCGUUAUCCGGAAUCAUUGGGUUUAAAGGGUCCGUAGGCGGUCAGGUAAGUCAGUGGUGAAAGCCCAUCGCUCAACGGUGGAACGGCCAUUGAUACUGCUUGACUUGAAUUAUUAGGAAGUAACUAGAAUAUGUAGUGUAGCGGUGAAAUGCUUAGAGAUUACAUGGAAUACCAAUUGCGAAGGCAGGUUACUACUAAUAUAUUGACGCUGAUGGACGAAAGCGUGGGUAGCGAACAGGAUUAGAUACCCUGGUAGUCCACGCCGUAAACGAUGGAUACUAGCUGUUGGGAGCAAUCUCAGUGGCUAAGCGAAAGUGAUAAGUAUCCCACCUGGGGAGUACGAACGCAAGUUUGAAACUCAAAGGAAUUGACGGGGGCCCGCACAAGCGGUGGAGCAUGUGGUUUAAUUCGAUGAUACGCGAGGAACCUUACCAAGGCUUAAAUGUAGAUUGACCGGUUUGGAAACAGAUCUUUCGCAAGACAAUUUACAAGGUGCUGCAUGGUUGUCGUCAGCUCGUGCCGUGAGGUGUCAGGUUAAGUCCUAUAACGAGCGCAACCCCUGUUGUUAGUUGCCAGCGAGUCAUGUCGGGAACUCUAACGAGACUGCCAGUGCAAACUGUGAGGAAGGUGGGGAUGACGUCAAAUCAUCACGGCCCUUACGCCUUGGGCUACACACGUGCUACAAUGGCCGGUACAGAGAGCAGCCACUGGGCGACCAGGAGCGAAUCUACAAAACCGGUCACAGUUCGGAUCGGAGUCUGCAACUCGACUCCGUGAAGCNGGAAUCGCUAGUAAUCGGA